AUUGAACGCUGGCGGCAUGCCUUACACAUGCAAGUCGAACGGCAGCGGACCUUCGGGUGCCGGCGAGUGGCGAACGGGUGAGUAAUAUAUCGGAACGUACCUUUCAGUGGGGGAUAACGUAGCGAAAGUUACGCUAAUACCGCAUAUUCUGUGAGCAGGAAAGCAGGGGAUCGCAAGACCUUGCGCUGAUUGAGCGGCCGAUAUCAGAUUAGCUAGUUGGUGAGGUAAAGGCUCACCGAGGCGACGAUCUGUAGCGGGUCUGAGAGGAUGAUCCGCCACACUGGAACUGAGACACGGUCCAGACUCCUACGGGAGGCAGCAGUGGGGAAUUUUGGACAAUGGGCGCAAGCCUGAUCCAGCCAUGCCGCGUGAGUGAAGAAGGCC
Molecule: ribosomal RNA, 384 nt
Filed under: uncultured bacterium
Lineage: Bacteria
Description: bacterial SSU rRNA
Rfam family: Bacterial small subunit ribosomal RNA
Source: RNAcentral